AAUGUGUGUGUUUUUUUUUUUUUUGUGUAAUGGUGAGAAGAGGUUAGUGAUUGGUUGGUGGCUAUGCAGUGUGAAUGAUGCAAGAUAAGCGGCAUUGUCGUCAGUUGUCUUGGGUACACCAGACGACUCCAGAAUGCCAGAGUGAAAAGGCGUGUUUUUUUUGUACUGAGAUUUUUUUUUCAAAAUACCAUUUUAUAUUAUUCCUCAAGUCUACUACAUUGAUUUCAUGUCAUCAAGUUAAAUUUGUCCAUAUUGUAAUAAAAAUUAUGUUUCCUAUUGUUCACAAAGAAGUUACUCAAGUUACAAGUACGCCUACACCGGUUAAGUUGUCUACCAGCAAUUUGGUGCAACAAGUCAACGACCGUCAACAACACAGCAAAAGCAAUUAUUUUAGGAUUUAAAGACCUAACGAUGUUUAUUAUUGCCAAGGUUGAAUAAAGAUAUGUGAACAUAUCACAAUGAACAUAUGCCUAUACUCAACCCAGUACCUAACAGAUGGCAGAGUUUUGAUUGGAAAUCAAACUGCCCCAUAGAUUGCAGGGUCUGAAAGGGAUACCUUUACCUUUGUUAAAAAAAGAAUGACUUACUAUGAUUCAGCAACAACCGAGAAAGCAGCAUACAAGAAGCGGCUACUUCAGCUGGACUAUACUGUCCCAUCUCAGACUGUAGUAAACACAGCAUGGCAAGAUACUCAAUCAACAUCGCAGAGUAUCCUGUUUCACCAACAAUGGCAACCAGAACCUUGACAUAAUCCUGAAUGGUCAAGACCUAAGCAAAACAGAAUCACAAGUCAGCAUUCAAGCAGCCAUUUACAAAGAUUUUAUGGUGUUUGAAUAGGCAUUUAAAAAUUUAAUUUGAAUGAGAUUAUGCUUUUAAACAAUAAAAUAAUAUGAUUUUACAUUUUA
This is a long non-coding RNA of Biomphalaria glabrata, 905 nucleotides long. RefSeq lists it as uncharacterized. The record is from RefSeq and is a predicted model, not a curated record. NCBI's taxonomy places the organism in Eukaryota, Metazoa, Mollusca, Gastropoda, Planorbidae. The transcript has 3 exons.